RNAcentral lists this long non-coding RNA (42186 nucleotides) under Lactuca sativa (garden lettuce). Its description in RNAcentral is "long non-coding RNA (LSAT_LNC009247)". Lineage: Eukaryota; Viridiplantae; Streptophyta; Magnoliopsida; Asterales; Asteraceae. The record is from RNAcentral.
GACACUUUGGUAAUGAAAGAUGGUACUAUCACAGACAUAGCCAUUCUCUUUACCAUUUGGUCAACCGAGUUGACUAUGACCGAUCCCUUUCCAUUGGUUAGAGAGAGCUUUACUGGAUAUCCAAUGUUACAUUGUCAAUGUCCAUAAGUUUUAGGAAGUUGAUCUUAGCAAACAGAUAAGUUCAUUAAGGGUCUUGUCGUAGUCUGUUUUAUAGGAGUCCCAAAGGAACUCACUAUGUGACUUAGAAAGUAGUUGAGCCACCAACUUUCUCAAGACUUUGACACCCAACUCUCUCGGCUUGUCAGUAUGUGACUACAUCUCCAAGAUGUGACCACACAUAGAGCUUUACUUGCCAAUAGGGCUUGAGUGACCUUAAACUUUUCAAGAACUUGUUGGUUAGGGAGAAUAAUUGGAGGGGGUGAAAGAAGUAUGAUUUCCAUGGGACAUCAUCUUCAUUUAGGAAAGCUUGUUUCAAGAGAUUUGGGAAGAUCAUAAAUGUCUAAACUAGACAUCUUUUGGGAGAUAUUCAAGAUAGUUGAUUUAAAGUCCUUAAUAUGACACCCAAUAUGAAAUAUUAAGGCUAGGACCCAACAAACUAUUUUAUAACUUAGAAGAGGUAUGCUGUAAUCCAAGCUAUAAAAUAUUUGAAGGUAGGUGAAUGACGAUUCACCAAUUUCCACCAAGAUAAACGAAAUGUAUUAUUAGGUUUUAAUUGGUUUUGAAACUCCUAGAUCUUUUGAGAUUCAUUGAACUGUUCAAUGGCAUGUUUCAAUCUCGAGUGUGCCCUUCAGGUUUUGUGACUGGGAUGCCGAGGAUCACAAAACAAGGUGUGAAGUAACCAUGCAAAUUACUUGGUACCCUUAAGUGUUUACCCCUCAAUCGAUGUGCCGGUUAACCACACACGCUCCAUCGAUACUAUGAUAAACAUUAAGUUACCAUUUUCCUACCUUGUUAAAUACGAGUUAGUGUGCCGGUUAACCACACACGCUCCACUAACCGACUUAAACAAAGUGCAAAGUGUAAUUUCAUGGAUUAGCACCUUAUUCACAUUUUCCUAAGUAACUAAGAUUGGGUAUUUAUAAAAGGUUUAGUUACUUAGUAUUUAUCAUUAAUACUUUUAAUGAAGGGAGAAUUAUAGUCCUUGUCCUACCCGUUCGGCUAACGACCCUCCACCGGUCAAGGAAGCGGUGGGUGAGAGUGGACACCCAUUAAACUGCCAUUUUAUAGGCAGUAACCUUAUACCCCCCUUAUAGACCGACUUCGUGAAUGAGGCCUACUAACGGUAAGACUGACUUUGUUCUUAUACAUAUAUAUAAGUAUUAACUAUUAAUAUUAUAAUAGUAUAAUGGUGUAUUUUAAACAUUUAAAAUACUUGGUGGUUUAAUCUAUUAAUUAAAAUAUACUCUUAAUUUGAUUAAACUUAAACCACGUCUUUAUGGAAUUAUUAACUCUUUUAACUAGACACUUUAAUUAAUUUAAUGAAGUCCAUAAAGUUUGAACUUUAACUUUUAAAAAUCUUGGGUUUGGAAUUAAAGUGUAUAUGGGGUUUGACUUUACAAAUUCCAAAACUUGAGGACAAGUUUUGAACAAUUCAAAAAACUUAUGGUUUCCAUAACUUAUGAAUUUUAAAGUGGUUUAAUGGAAAAAACCCUUCAAGUUCCAUAACUUGUAGACAAGUUAUGGAAGACUUUAAAAGCAUUAAAAAAUUUGACUCUUCAUUUUUUCAUAAUUUAUGUAAAUUUUAUGAGUUUUUAAAAUUCAUAAAUGUGACUUUUCAUGUAACUUGAGGACAAGUUACAAAAACACAUAUUAUGAACAACUUCAAGAUUAAUUUGGAUUGAAAACAACUAUCUCAUAAUUUUUCCUAUUAAUCUAAACAAACUCAUAAACAUGAACAUUCAUAAUCAACAUUUUUCAAGCAUCAUAUAAACAUGUAUAAAACUUGAAACUUUGAUUAUUAUCCUUUAUUUGGAUGAGAAUAAACAUUACCAUAGUAUCAAAAAACAAAUUUGCGGUAAUGAUUCUAAUCCAAACCAGGCCAAAAAAAACUCGAAGAUAAGCUGUCAGGGGGUCCAACUCGUCGAGUGCAUGAACCAACUCGACGAGUUGGAAGAAUUUGUUCAUCGACUCGUCGAGUUCAUCACUGGACUCGACGAGUCUGCUGUCCCGACAGGAAAAAAUUCGAUAUUUUUUCCAGUUUUUUUCAGCAACUUGCAUCAAGUAUAAUUGAUAACAACCUAUGGCUCUGAUACCACUGUUGGGUUUUGGUAUACUACAACAUCAUAUGGUGCACAUAAAACCAUAAAUACCUUGGAUCUAUGUUUUCACUAAUUAUACAUGAAAAUGGUUUCCAAGGUAUUAAUCUUACAACUAGCAUGCAUUUAACAUAAAAAUUAUAAUAUACUAGUUAGCAUGACAUACCUUUUGAUGGAGCUUGAAUUCUUGGUGUAUUUGGCCUUAAAGAGCUUAGCCCCAAUAGUGUGGAAGCCUCAAAUGGAAUCACAACACACCAUGGACAAAGGAUGAACUUGAGAGAGAAUUCCAUGCACACAAAAGACACCAUUAACUCUAAAAAGAUACAAGUGGCGAUUUUGGGCAAUGAAGUAUCUAUUUAUAUGUGGGAUUUCUAGGGUCAUGGAUAUAACCCAAAUCCAUACCCAUGGGUUUUAUGAUCCAUGGUUCAUGUGGCCCAACUUUUUAUGUAUCCAUACAUAAACUUGGUCCAACAUGGAUCAUAAAUAUAAAUAUAACUAAUUAUCAUAAUUAGUCCCCAUAGAUUUAAUUAGUCUCUUUUGACCACUAAAGUAAUUCCAAAUUAAUUCUUAAUCAAUACUAAUUAAAACAUAUGAUUUCAUAUUAAUAUAUUAUAACUUAUAAUAUAUUAAUAAACCAUAACUAAGCUUCUCUCAAAAGUCCAUCCUAACAUAUUGUACUGAUGAUAUGCAACCCAAAUGGACCAUGCUACUCUCGGGUUGAAUACAUACCAAUAAUAGUUAUGGGCUUAGACACCUAAUCCAACAGUUCCACCCAGUGAAUGCUCAGAUUUUCUACUGCUUCGUUCAAGAUUCGCUCCAUGGACCAAGGAGGAAAUAACAGUUUCUUGGAAGCUAGGGCAGUUUGAGCAUCACGUUCCACUUUUUCUUUUUCUUCUUCCUCUCUCGCAAUGUGUAAGUUUUUCAUCGAGAAUGGCAUCACGAGCCUUAUGUUUCAGUUUCUCAUUUCAUUUUCUUCCUCUUCUUCUUCUUCAACCAUUUUCUCAUUUCCCUUUGAACCCGAAGAUACAUUACCCUUCGGUUCAGAUUCAGAAACUUUCACUUUUACUUUUUCACCAACCUUCUUGGGGUCUUUUGAAGAUGGAGGCUUCACCGAUUCUCCCCCUUGUUUUGGAAUUGAGCUAAAAUCCGAAACACCCUCAAGGCGAUUUAGCAUUGCGAACGUCGGGUGGAGUUUGUUUGCAUGAUGAUUCCUAACAGUGAUGGGGAUCAACGGAUCACGAACCUCGACAAUAUUAGAUAGCAUGGAGUUGACAUUUGAAACACAGCUUUUUGUGACAACUCUCUCAUUCAAGAGCUCAUUGACGUGCUUUUUUCAUUCUCCAGUUUCACAUUCAACACCUUCACUCUUUCAGACUUGAGUGCAAGAGCAUCCAUUAUUUUGCUCUCAAUAGCUAAGUCAUCUUGAAGCUUGGUGAUUUUGGAUGUGAUAGAAGAGUUUAGCUUAGAGUUGUCAGUUUGAAUUCUUGUACGAACCUUCUCGAGAGCCUCCUUCUUAGUGCGAAGGGAUACACUCAGAUCCGAGAUUGCUGCAUUGGCUUUGGCAGUGUUGGUCUCAAAGGAGCUCUGAAAGAUGCUCAUGAAGGCUUUGCCAUCAGUAAUUAGUUUAUUGAAUUUUUCGAUCGCUUCCUUGCAGGUCUUAGCCGAAUCCUGCACGACUUUGUUCGCCUUCUCUAGGUUCUCAGCAUGCUCUUUUAAAGUUGUUUCUAUUAAAGCUUUGACUGCUUCCUGGGAAUAUGCAUUGCUGGAUGAAGUGUUGGAAGAUUAGAUUAACGAAUCCAUUUUGUCAUUGAUGGUUUUGAAUUGUUUUUGAGUGACUAGAGCGUCAUCGUCACUCUCGUCUAUAACACGAAAAGGACUAAAGGUGAUAUUUUCAAAAUUUACAUCACCUCCAAAAAUAGUAUUCAGAUCAUCCUUGCUUAGUGGAGAAACUAGUGGUGUUGAAUGACCAACUGAGAAGCCCUUGCCCUUGCCCUCGCAUUAGAUGUUCUAACAGUGACUGGAGGUUCGUCAGUGGUAGUGGUUGUAGUGGCAGUUGAAUCUAUGAAGAAGGUGGUCUGGGUUUGCGAAAGCCCCAAGGAUACUAGUGGGAAAGGUGCGAUUGUGAUCGGAGUAGAGACAGUAGAUGUGGGUGAAGAUAUGGAAAAUUCCUGGAAUAGACCUUCAUUAAUUGGAACGGAAGUUGGGAUUUCAAACCUUUCGUCAGGGUUUGUAGUUACAGGCUCCGAAACCUGUGGAUGCGAUGUAGUGGAAGCAUCAUCCUCCUUGUGAACCUCUUCCUGAAUAGGAGUCUCCGAAACGGUGUGAGACUGCGAAUCCUCCUGGUCACUCGGAGUUGGAGACCUAGGCGUACGAGCCAUCUUGUUAACCCUCUUCCUUUUUGGUGCCUGUGGAGGUUCAGAAGGACCGACUUUCGCAACCCUCUUUUUACCUCCCUUUUUGGGUUUAUCAACCUCAGCAAGAAUUUGUUACAAUUCAUCAAUCAGUGGGUAAAAUCCUAAGACUGGCAGACUGCGAUAAGCGUGUAGUACUUCGCUCGCAGCUGGAACCUCUUGCAAAAUCACUUCAGGAAUGGAUCCGAUGAAGCUGAAUUUGGAGGUAUCAACAUGUAUGAUGUUCAUGGUUUGGAAAGUCAGAAUCCCUACCAUUAUUGAAUCUUCGAGCACUGGGAUGUUGAGUUUGUUGAUUUCCCUUUGAACGACAAUGUACCAGAGACAAGCACAGGAGAUUUUACUGUGUCGUGUGGUAGAGUGGGUGCUUUUGACCAACUGGAAAUAGAAAACUGAACCGUAGUCCAGGUUGAUGCAUGAGUAGCUUCUAUACAUUAGCAUCAUGAAAAUUUUGCUCGCACAGUUUGAGCCGGUGACUCUCUCUGAGAAGCUUUUGAAGAGUAAAGAGGUUGUUCCACAUUGAUGGAAAAUUCGGCUUCUUGAACUUGGAAACAGUAGUUAACGUUUCCUUAUAACCCAUCUAAUAGAACAUCUCUAGAAUGGCAGAGUUGGAGACGUUUUCGGGGCCAAUCAUCUCACUACCCUAUGGAAGCCCUAGAAGGUUGCAGAACCUUGAAUUAGUAAUUUGGGUUUUCUAAUUGAAGAUCUCGAAUAUGAUGAAUUCAUCACCCUUUGUAUAACUAGCAGUAGAAUAUGCUUUUGACAGAUUCACCAUCGAAACAAUUUUAGACUUGGUAAGAGCGAUUACCAGUAGUGAAUACCUUAAGCAUUCAACGAUCAGUUGAAGAAAACCGUCGUAUUUUGUAGGAUAGAGAUUGAGAAUCAUGUUUUGAUUAGCUUGGAGGUGGAGGAUUGAGGAUUGAGCCAUCUAUUCUGUUGCAGAAGGUUUUUCCGAAGAGGCAGCCAUUGAUGCUUGUAGAAGAAGAUGAAUAGUAGAGAGAGAUUUUUCUAGAGGGUUUGAUAUCUUUGAAAAUAGUAAUGAUAACUGAAGCAUCGAUAUCCUUUUGUACCGUGUAUUAGGAGAAAGAAAUAUGGCGUUCGGUGCUUUAACUGCUUGUAAAAGGGCUUGAAAAAGCAUGACUGACAACUGUUGUGUGUGAGUCAGGCGGCGGUAAAGCAGGCAGUAAGGAGUCGUUUCAAGUUCCAAGCGCCCAAUUUUAAUUAUUAUCUCUUUAAUAGCACCGUUUCAAUUUAACCCUUUUCCGCCAAUACAGAUGAGCCUUCGUAUUAGAUUGCCAUAAGUUAUUCUGAGAAACUAAAAGUAAACAUGAGUACCACGAACCAGAGUUUGGAAAAUCACAAGGAUCUUUGUGCGAAAGUGUGCCAAAGAUUAAAGAAAUAAAGCGAGUUUUAUUAGGGAUUCCAGUGAUGUCAUAGAAGACAUAAAACGGAUGGAUCCUUGGAAACGAUCUCUUCCUUCACAGUCAAGAGAGACUUUGAAGUGCUUGUGUGGUGUCCCCUUGAAUUACGAUCAACUGUUUGUUGAGAGUAGUGAAAGGCAUCUUUUAGUAAGGCGAAUGAGGUGGCUUAGUCUUCAAGUAAAUCCAAAACUCAACAUAAGUCCGAACGUUCGUAUGAAGUUCUUGUUUGACCAGUGUAGCCAUAAAACAAGUAUGCUUGGGAAUUAUUUUCAGUGGAAAUCUCAAGAAAAAUAAAAUUGGAUCUAUUGGGAAGAAAUGUCUUAGGACUAGAACAUUUCAUUUAGAUCUCGCUAAAGAAAAAGAGAUUUCUUGGUACCGACCGCGAAGGUGGACAUUCGUUAAUUCCUUGGUGAAAAAAUAUAGAACAUGUACCGUAAAUUCGUAAAAAUGUGUUGGAUUUUGGGUUUCACUUAAUUUGUGGUAAUAAUGAAUUUAAGAUCAUAAACACUAAAGAUGUGUAACCAUAAACCUCAAUGGUAAUUUCUGAGAGUCUCAAGGGUUACGUUUCUAAAUGCGAAAGUGAUGGAGAAGUAGUUGGAGGUGGUUCCAAAGAAAUAAUGUACCUCUGCUAUGCGAAAGUGACCAAGCAACGAACUCUUGACUCUAUGUGAGAAGAGUAAUGUGGCUCAUGACUUAUGUGAAUAAACAACCUAAUUGGGAAGAAACGAUUGGUGUUAUUCGCUUCAUUAAGACUUCAACAUAGAGUCUUUGAGGCUUCAGACAACAUGCAACAACAUGUUUCUAAGGACACUUAACUAGGAAUAGAUUAAGAACUUUAUACCUAUCCCAUCAUUCGUAGUUGAGAUCAUCAACAUAUGAAUCUUCAAUCCUACCAAAUUAUCUAAUAUUUUUGGUAUUUUAUAAUUUUAUGAAAAGAAAUAAAUAAAUAAAAUGAAGAAAAUAUUUUUGAAUUUUUGGUUUUUCUAAAAAAGAAAUUAAAAACAUAAAGAAAAAAUAUUUUUGAGUUUUUGGAUUUUCUAAAAAAGAAAUUAAAAACAGAAAGAAAAAAUAUUUUUGGAUUUUGUUUUUCUGAAAAAGAAAUAAAAACAGAAGCAAAUAAAAAAAAAUUAUUAACAAAAUGUACAAAGGAUACAUGAAAUUCCGAACCUUCGAAUGAACAGUGGACUGCGAGUUACUAUGAGCGUUCGCACCAAUUUGCAGUAUGAAAAGUAGACUAUGAGUCAUUGCGAGCGUUCGUACCAAUUCGCCGUUAAAACAUUAUGAAUGUGAAGGUGGUUUUGGAACAGAUUCAGCCUCUGUCAUUCCUAGGCCUUGAAGAAUGUGAUUGAAGGUUUGCUCAGGUAAGGCUUUCAUGAAGAUGUCAGCCAAUUGAUCAAUGGAUCUAAUGAAGUGUAUCUUAACAUUACCAUCUUCCACAUGAUCUUUGAUGAAGUGAUACCUCAGUGCUAUAUGUUUCGUCUUUGAAUGUUGCAUUGAGUUGUGACAAAUACGAAUGGCGCUCUCAGAAUCGCAAUAUAAAGGGAUUUGCUUCCUGUUGAUACCAUAGUCGCGAAGCUGAUUCUGAAUCCAGAUUACUUGUGAAGUGUAAGAGGCAGCGGUUAUGUACUCUGAUUUAGCAGUUGAUAGGGAGACACAAGUUUGCUUCUUUGAUUGCCAACUUACGAGUUUACCAUCAAGAAAUUGGCAUCCUCCCGUAGUACUCUUUCGAUCUAAACUGCAACCUCCAAGAUUAGCAUCUGAAAACGCUUGCACAAAGAAACUUGAACUUGAAGGGUGCCAUAUUCAUAGUGAAUAUGUUCGCUUGAGAUACCUGAAGAUAUUCUUAACAGGGUUCAUGUGAGGUUCGCGAGGAUUCACUUGAAACAUGGCAUAGUAGCAGACGGAAAACAUGAUAUCUGGAAGACUAGCAGUCAGAUACAUCAGUGAACCUAUCAUUUGAUGAUAGAGAGUCAUGUCAGCAGUUGGCUUGUCUAAAGACAGUGUUAGUUUUGUUCCAAAUGCCAUUGGAACCUUCACCUUUGAAUCUCCCACCAUUCCAAACUUAAAGAAUAUGGUCUUUGUGUAAGCCUCUUGAUGUUUAAAGAUACCUUCCUGACUCUCUAUUAUAUUCAAGCCAAGGAAAAAAGUUAAUCAGACCCAUGGAACUCAUCUCAAACUUAGUUUCCAUUAACUUUCAAAACUCAGCUGUUAAGUUGGGGUUAGUUGAUCCAAAGAUGAUGUCAUCAACAAAAAAUUAGACGAUCAUCAAGUGGUCAUCGUCUUUCUUGCGAAAGAAGGUUGGGUCGACCGAUCCCUGUUUAAAUUUAGCCUUUUUUUUAAAACGAGUUAGAGUUUCGUACCCGGCUCUCGGAGCUUUCUUUAGACCAUAAAUUGCCUUUUACAGAACAUACCAGUGGUUCGGAUACUAUUCGUUUAUGAACCCUAGUGGUUGUUCCACAUACACUGUUUCUUCUAGUUUCCUCUUUAGGAAUGCAUACUUGACAUCUAUCUGAUAUACUGUAAAGUUCUUGUGUGCCGCGUAUGCCAGAAAGAUGCGAACAGAUUCCAACCUUGAAAUAGGUACGAAGGUCUCUUCAUAGUCAUUUCCUUCUUCCUGACAGUAUCCCUUGACAACAAUUCACACCUUGUUCCUUAUCACAUUUCCUUCUUUAUCUAGCUUAUUGCGAAAUACCCAUUUUAGACUAACUACAGACGCAUCCUUUGGAGUGGGAAUAAGUCUCCAGAGUCUGUUUCGUUCAAAUUCAUUGAGCUCCUCUUGCAUCGCUUGUAUCCAGUCAGAGUGAUUAAGCAUAAUCUGAACAUUUUUAGGUUCAAUUUUGGAGAUAAGCGAACUGAACAUGCAAUAUUCUACUUUAGAGAACAGUGCAGUUCGCUUUGCCUUUUUUUAUGCUCUCAUAAGAACUCCUGAAGAUGAAUCUCCUAUAACUUGAGUGUUUGGAUGAUCUCUGGUCCAUUUACUCAACGGAGAGAGAUUAGGAUCAUAUGUAGGAUCCAAUUCAGCAUUUGUAUCCUCGUAUUCUAACUGCACAUCCUCAGAAUCAUCAUUCGUUUCUUUAUUCUCCCCAUCGAAUGAUGAGAGUUUCUCUACUUCCGGAAAAGAAUUCUCCCCCUGGACUGCACUUUCGUGGGUCUCCUGAGGAUUGAAUACUCACCCUAAAAAGGUGUAUCUGAUGUGGAGGUUGAAGUAGAACCCUCCCCCUGCAUUGGUGUGUUCGCACCUUGUGAUUCUUUCACAGUCUGAGGUUCACUUUCAAGAUUCUUCGCAGUUUUGUCAAUAAUCUUCUUCAGUUUUUCUUCCUUGUUGUCUAUUGCUUUGUAUUCGGAGGAGAUGGCUUUUUUAGGUUCGCCGAAUAAGUUCAUGAACUCCUCGUAGAGAUUGGAGAGUGGAAUGGUUGUAGGAUUCAGUUUAGGAAAGAUCUCUUGUGAGGGACUGUCAUUCUUCUAAAACUUCUUCAAGUAAUUGACGUCAAAAGUAACAUAGUAGGUUUCUUCAAUACUUUUGGACCUUUUGUUGAGAACCCUAUAUUCUUUAGAAGUCAAAGAAUACCCUAAGAAUAUACCUUCAUCAACUUUCAUAUCCAAUUUGUUCCUUUGCUCCUUUAAAUUGAAGAUAAAGCCCCUAGAACCAAAAACAUGGAAAAACUUGACAUUAGGUUUGCGAUUAUUUAUGAUUUCAUAUGGAGUGACAGAGAAUCUCUUAUUGAGAAUGGAAUGAUUUUGGGUAAAGCAUGCAGUUCCUAUUGUAUCUGCCCAUAAGUAAAGCAACAGAUUCGCGGAUGAUAGCAUAGUUCUCGCAGUUUCGCACAAUGAGAGGUUUCACCUUUCAAUGAGUCUGUUCUAUUGUGGAGUAUAAGGAGCUAAAAAUUUGUGAGUAGAUCCUUUCGCUGUAAGAAGUUGUUCAAAAUCUUGGUUUUUGAAUUACAACUCGUUGUCACUGCGAAUGUUGCGAACUAGCUUUCAUAAUUGUAUCUUGAUUUGCUUUAUGAAAUCCUUGGGCGUUGCUUUUGAUUUUUGCUUAAGAAAAUGCACCCAUGUGAAUCUGGAAAAAUCAUCUACAAUUACGAGAAUGUACUUAUUUCCACCAACACAUUCAAUUGCAGAAGGACAAUAAAGGUCUAUAUGCAAAAGCUUGAGUGGUUCUAUGACUUUCGUGUUCACAAUUGGUGGAUGACUCUUCCUACCUUCUUCCCUAAUUCACAGGCUAUACAAAGAUGUUAUUUAUUAUACUUCAAGAGUGGAAGCCCUCGCACAUGAUCACCAAGAACUAAGUUGUUGAUGUCUUUGAAAUUGAGGUGUGAAAGACAGCGAUGCCAUAGCCAGCUAUCAUCUGAUGAAACUUUCGUAAGUAGAUAAAUGUUAGGCUUUCAUUUGAUAGGAUUCAGAUUAAGAGGGUACAUUUCUCCCUUUUGUUUUGACUUUAACAAUACAUUUUUGGUUGCCUUUUUAAUGAUUUCGGACCCUUCAUCAUUGAACGAAACCUUCAACCCUGUACCAACCACCAACUGCGAAACACUAAUGAGGUUGUGUUGCAGUCCUUCCACAUACACGACUUUGCUAAUUGAAACUCUCCAUUUGUUAUAAUCCCAUAGCCCUUGAUUUCUCCAAGUGAAUUGUUGUCGAAUUUCACUCUUCCCCCAUCCUUUAGGACCCUGAACUCUCGCAUUUCUUCCCUUCUUCCCGUCAUGUGACAUGAGCAACCACUAUCUAUGUACCAUUCGGAGUCAAACUGCUCGUCACUAAUUAGCUAUAAAAUCAAGCAAAUUUAGGAACCCAAAGUUUUUUGGGUCCUCUUGAGGUUUUCACAGAAACAGGAAAAGUAAUGGAAACAUCAACCAUAUAAGUUCGUUUUAUUAAGGUGGUUUUAUAUUUCUUUGUGUUUUGAAAAACAAUGAUCCGAUUGUCCUUUAAGUCCGUAUCUUUUAAGGAUGUUUUCUUUUGUUUAUUAUGGAUUUGCUGCUUGACAAAUUUCUUGUCAUCUCUCUUUGAGUUAGUUUCAGAUUUCUUGAUUGGAAUUUUAGGCUCUGAAACCAUCUUUCCUUUUCCCUUAACAUCUUUUGAUGUCUUGGUAGAUUGUGAAACAUUUUUGUUAGGAAAGUUAUGAGAUUUUGAAUUUUCCAUAGGCUUCAUUUUAUUUGGAAAAAUGGGUUGUUGAAAAACUUUUUGUUUGGAAGCCUGUGGAGACUGAGACUGACUUUUUGAAAAACUCCUAAGGUUCGCAUGUGACGAAACGUUCGCAUUUGGAUUGGAAGAAUUUUCUUUUGGAACAAAAUUGGGAUUCUUUGAUUUCCAGAACUGCUUUCUUUCCUUUAGAUUUUUAUUAUGUCUCGCAUUCCUUUGGCAUUUUUUAGCGGUGAACUACUCAGAAGACUUAUGAAUUUUAGUCUUGGCUUUCGGCUUGCUAACUGGAGUUUCGAUCUGAAUGGAUGAAGUAUCACUUGAAACAUUCUUAGUUGCACUAGGACUCCCCUUUUCGUAGCUUGAGUUAAUGUUAUUUAGUGGUUCUGCUACAUAUUUUCCCUUUGUCUUCCAAGAGGUCGUUUCAGAUAGACCUUUGGUUUCAUCGACAUUAUCGAUCGGGGAUAACCAAAAGAACUCGUCGCAUCCAUCUUUAUUGUCGUCUUCAACAAUGGACGUUAAUUCAGAUGUUUGGUUUUUGUUCAAUCCUUUAGUUUUGAAAACUUGGCUAGGGACCAUUUCAACCUUUGAAAAAACAGUUUCUUUUUUCGUGUAAAACUUUUGAUUUAUCUUCAGAAAAACAUGCAAACUCAACUGAAUUUUUUGAUGUUAAGACUUUCGCAUGUUUAGAUUUACUUUUACAAACUCAGAGCAAUCAACCUCAUCCUCCACAAAAAUUUCACUCGUAUCACUUUCAUCAUCGAAUUCAGAAACGUUUUCAACAUCUAGUUUAUUUUCCGAACUCAACUUGGUGCUUAAUGAGUCAAACUUCUGUACAUUUUCGGAUUUAAUUUGCUUUUUGUCUUUUUCAUCUAAAAGUUGUUUAAGCAUGCUUUUGUGGUCUUUGGACUGUAUGUAUGAUUCUAUUUUGUCCGGUCCUACCCUGUAAGUAUCUGAAACUUCCUCUGAUGAGACAAAAGAUUCACAUUAGUAACAAUCAAUGUUUAUUUCAUCUUCUAUUAAUUCAAGGAAUGGCAAGAUCAUUUUAUGCAGUUUCUUACCAAUCUCACAAUCUAAAUGCAACUGAGUGAUAUUAAAAUAAAGUCUUUUGGCAAUUAAAAAAAAAUAUUACGUUGUUUUAAAACACAUAAAUUAUCUCUCUGCAAAUAAAUUAAUGCAUCCCUAGACUUAGACAAAUUUGACUCCAAUUUUCAAAUCCACAUGCGUCGCUCUUCAUUCUUUGACGAAACCCUGCCGAUUUGAUUGGUUAAGUUAGAAUUUGUCAAACGAGUUCAUUUUAGAAUAUCACUGAAACUUGAAAAUAUGUAUUUUAAUUUGUUUAAUUUGGUUUCAUAUUUAGAUAAAGGUAUAUUUAGAGAUUCAAGAAUAGAGUUUACCUUGUUGAUCACCUGAUCACACUCGCUAAUCUGCUCAAGAACUGAUUUCGUAGCGAAACAACUAUCAGUGCUACGUCUACCAUCAGUUGCAUAACCCUUCAUCUUUGACACUUCAUUGGUAACCAUCAAACACCUUCCAUUAACUUGAGAGNUAAAAUAAAGUCUUUUGGCAAUUAAAAAAAAAUAUUACGUUGUUUUAAAACACAUAAAUUAUCUCUCUGCAAAUAAAUUAAUGCAUCCCUAGACUUAGACAAAUUUGACUCCAAUUUUCAAAUCCACAUGCGUCGCUCUUCAUUCUUUGACGAAACCCUGCCGAUUUGAUUGGUUAAGUUAGAAUUUGUCAAACGAGUUCAUUUUAGAAUAUCACUGAAACUUGAAAAUAUGUAUUUUAAUUUGUUUAAUUUGGUUUCAUAUUUAGAUAAAGGUAUAUUUAGAGAUUCAAGAAUAGAGUUUACCUUGUUGAUCACCUGAUCACACUCGCUAAUCUGCUCAAGAACUGAUUUCGUAGCGAAACAACUAUCAGUGCUACGUCUACCAUCAGUUGCAUAACCCUUCAUCUUUGACACUUCAUUGGUAACCAUCAAACACCUUCCAUUAACUUGAGAGACUUCAGCCUUCGCCACGAAGUUGCUUCCAUGAGUAGGUCUGUGAACCUCUUCAUCUUCUGAGUCAGUUGACCAUACCUCGAUUCUACCAUACUCAUCUUUAGCUUUGUUUUCCUUCACAAUCAAAGCAUGCAUGGUAUUAUCAGCGUUCUUUUUCUUUUUGAUCUCCUCUAACUUUCGAAGAUAGUAUGUCUCGUCAACCUCUCCCUCCAUCUUCUCGUUCAAUCUUCUCAGCAUGCAUUCUUAGGCUAGAUGGUUUUUACCAUGACAAAAGUUAUAAUCAUAGCCGGAGUUCCCCAUAAGCUUUUUAUCCUUAUUUGCUUCUUCUUUCUUAGAGUUAUUUGCACUCUCCUCCUUUACAUGUACCGAGCUGUAACUUCCUUGCCAGUUUUGAUUCUUGUUGCGACUGAAGUUCUUCUUUGCAAAAUUCUUUGGAUUGGACACCAUCAAGGCAUAAUCCUCUUUUGAGAGUUCACAAUUGGAUAGUUCAGUCUCCGAUCCAUCAUCAUCUAUAACCUUUUUUACCCUUCACAACGAGGGCAAUGAUCCCAUUCCAGACACUAACUUCCCUUCUUUUGUCACUUCAUCUUCAUGUGACCUCGAUAUUCCAACAAGCUUUGCCAACAUGUAGUUCCUAAACUACUCAUGUGCUUUUACGAUAGAAACUAUAGUCUUCCAUUCAUAUCUCAUGAACGUGACUUUUUGCAAAAUUAGUUCAUGUCAGAUGCUGUGCUUCAUAAUCCUACUGAGAAGAUGAUUAUAUCGAUUGAAAGUUUGAUCUAGACUCUCUUCAGGCUUUUAUACAAAGGCUCCAAACUCUGAAAGCAGAAGGGUUUGUGUAGAAUGCUCAAGAUCAGCAUCACUUGAGUAUAGUUCAUUGAGCCUAUGCCAUAUAGCUUUUGCUGUGUCACAUGAACUUAUCAGACGAAAAGUGUCUGGUGGCAAAGCAAAUAUAAUGAUCAUCAUCACUUUAACAUUGCUUAUCAGGUUAUCCUUCUCAUCUUGUGGUACGUCUUUUGCAUCAAGAAGAAGCUUGUUGUAGUCGGCUUGAGUUUUAAUUACUCUUCUUGUUCCUGUAUGAGCAAAUGUCUGGACAAUAAUGGCUUCCCAUAUCAAAUAAUCAUUAUCUUCAAGCCCUAGGACAUAAUAUUCAAAGUGCAACGCCCACACUUCAUAAUCACUAGGUAAAAGAAUGGGGAUUAUGGUUGUAGGUACAAUGCUGCUUGAAAGAUUUAUGGAGUUAAUAUGAGAUUCGUCUGACAUGUUUAAAGAUCGAUUAAAACCUGUAUGAAUCAGAUGCGUAAACUAAAAAUAGUUUUAAGGUAAUAUCAAGAUCAAAGAUCAGUGUCAAUAACAAUGAUGACAGCUAAACCAGAUCCAAUAAUAGCGGACACCCUUAAAACUCUUUUAACAGAAGAGAUGCUUAUAGAUUACACAGUCUCCUGCUUUGAUACCAAAUUUUGACAUUAAAAAUCUAAAGAGUGAAUAGAUUCAAACAGGAAUAAGCAAUCAAACACAAAAUAUGAAUCAAGAAUGUGUCGAAUGAUUAAAAGUCACGGCCUUAGAAGAACUCGAUAAAGAACUGCUACUGUAGAGGCUAUGUAGGGUUUACAAUGACACGAUUAGAAAAUACACGAUGCAUGCAUGCACCUUAAAUAGUAAAACACUAAUCAUUAAUCACAUGUGGACAGGCCCAACCCGGAUACAAAAUAGACUAUACAAAAGCCCAUAAUGAAGCAACACUAAAUACCCAAUAGUUCUCAAAUGUUCUCAAAUUAAGAAAUGUUCUCAUUUGAACACACACACACACACACACACACAUAUAUAUAUAUAUAUAUAUNUAUAUAUAUAUAUAUAUAUAUAUAUAUAGUGUUUUUGUUGUAAAUGGAGGCGGUGAAAGUUUAUGAUAAAGUAAAUCGCAUUGUCUAGAUAUCAUUUUGAGUGUUUAGAAAUGAUAAGUAAUCUCACUGUUAUCAAAAUGUAUAAUAAUUCCAAGAAAAUAAAGAUACAUGUGUGGCCAUCAAACGAAGUAGUAAAAAAAAGAGAUUAAUUAAGGUUAAAGGUUUAAGUCAUUUGUAAUGGAAUUUAUACAUAAAUAUGUAGAUUAGUCUUUUGAAAAAUUUUCUAAUUAUUUAAGUCAAGACAAAUAAAAGUUUACGAGAAGUCAGGGUAUUUACGAAAACAAGUUGGAGAGUUUAGGAACUCAUUCGAGAUUGCAAAGUACAAUGCUAUUUUAAGAAAUGUGUAAAAAUAUCAACCAUUGAAAAUAGUGUAUUCUUAUUUUAGUGAUCCUACAAAAAAAAUCAUUUUAAGGAUAGAUAAUUGUAACAUUUAAAACUUUUUAUAUUUUUAAAGAAUAGAAGAAACAUAAGAAAAUAUAUUUUUCACGUAUAUUUUAUGAAUUUAGAAAAAUGAUAAUAACAAGGGUAUUCAUCUUGUGUAUUAACUGUAAGGAAAAUAUAAUAAAAAUUGCAUUUUAAAUCAAAUUUCCAAAUUUAAAACGAAAUAACAAAUGUAAAUAAGGAUUACUCGUUUAUAGUGGAUUUCAUAAUAAAAACAAAAUUUAUAUGAUAAAAGGCAUAAUUGAAUAUAUCAAAGUUGACCAAGUAAAAAUUAUGCCUCCUCACUAUACAUGCACGUAUUAAUCGUUCAUAAUGAAAAGGUAGAAUUCUAGUAUGUAUGCGUAUGAAUAUGGUAAUAAGGUGAGCAAAAUAGACAAAAAAAAAUUAGACCAUGCAUUGUGUUAUUAUUAUGAGUUUGCAAGUUCUCAAAUCAGAAGGAGAGCAAGAAAUCAAGUACGGGGAAAAAAAGGAAGGUAGUAGCAGCAAUGAUUGCUAUUAUUAAUAUUAUAAGAACAAUACCUAUAAGUAGAUUUAAAACUAGUAUGAGAUAUAUUUCGAACUUCAAUCUUUAACGUAUGUUGAUGAUUAAAUAAACAUGUGGAAGUUUUAAAGUGUUUUCUAAGGUUUGCUAAAAAAUCAUGAGUUAUCUAUUAAGUUAAACUUCAUUUGUGAAAUAGAAGAAACACUAAAACUGGUAAUUAAAAAUCUGACAAUUUUGACUUUUUAAAAUGAAGUCAAAUAAUGGUUAAAAUGGAUAAGGUAAAGACUCAAUAUUUUCAAAAGAAUAAUUAUACAUUGUUGAAAGUGUGUCAUUUGAAAUUUAAAAGUGGCACUAAGUUUUGCAUUGUGGUAAAAUCUAGGAACUUUAUAGAUUAUAAAACUAAUUUGUAAUAAAAUGAACAAAUAAGGUGUGUUUUGAAAUGUCGGAAUUAGUGAUGUCUUGUAAACACGUUUGGAGUUGAAAGUUGUAAAAAUAUCUUGUUGGAUUUCAAGAAAACACAUUUAAGUAAAGUACAAUGCCUAAAUGAGAAAGUGGUCAAAAGAGUCAAAACAAAAGUGGUUUGAAAGAUCCAGUGAAGCUUUUACACAUAAUAUGAACUUUAAUGUCAUAUGUUUAAGUUUUAUAGCAUAGAGUUUAAACACUUUUAUAAAUGAAAAUGUUUCUAAGUUUUUUGAAAAUGUACCAAAAUGGUAAGAAAUGAUUAAAAUGGUUUAUAUGCCCUUAAAAAGCACAUCUAUCCAUUAAAAUGGAUUUGAAAUGAAAUUAAAAUAGCAAGAUUAAAACCAAUAUUGGUUAACCUAAGUUUUGAAAAAAAGUGUUAAGUUAAAACAAGUUGUUAAAAGUAAAGUUGGUUGUUUUUAGCGAGAAAUAUUGAUUAUAUGGUUAGAAAAUGUCUAGUAAGUUAUAUGAAGUGGUUAUAAAAUAUUGUACUGAUGGUAAAUAAAACUAGUGAAGUGAAAUAGGUUUGGUGAAAGAUUAAGAAGUAAGGACUAAAUGGGUUAGUGUAACUAGUCGUACCUAAUACUAAUGUGAGUAUAAGGCUAGUACCGGUAACUUUUCCGCAAAAUAAAGGACACAAAAAAUUGUUUGUAAAACAUGUUAUCAUGUAGCUAUAGUUUUGUGCCUUUUAUAGGGAUCAAAGGUUAAGUCAUAGGUUUAACGUGUGGCGUAAGAGGAUGAAAUCCUUGAUAACGAUAGGAAUGUUAGUAAUGCUGAUAAGGAUUCAAAAAAAUAUAUGAAAACGAUAAGGGUCAAAAUCUUGAUAACGAUAGGAAUGUUAGUAACACCGAUCACGACUCAAUCAAUGAAGUAGUGCGAUGUUUGCUCGGGCAUGAAAAUUACGGUUGAAGGUUGGGCAUGAAAAAUGUUAGUAAUUUGGGAAGUGUAAGAUGAUUGUAUACUCGAGAUAAUCACUAGUAUAUCUGGGGGUCUCGAAUUACGCCUUGUAAGUUUUUUCAUAAGGGUGAUGGUAUGUGCUUGGAUUAGGAUAUUCGAAGUAAAGAUGGUAGCGUAAGAACUACCUAAUGAAAAGUUUUGGGUUAAAGAGAUAUCAUGUGUUAAGUUUUAAGCUCAAGGUGGAAACAACCGAAACCUAAAAUCGUCGCGUAGAAGAAAAUCCUCACGUAUUAGUAGCAAUGGGUUAAACAUCUAUGUCUGUGACAACCCAAGUCGUUCCGUUACAUUUCCCCGUUACCGUUAACGGAAUAUUGCAGUUUAUAAAAGUUCCGUUAAUUAGAGGUCGUCAAUUUAAUAAACAUUCCAUUUGUUUACAAUUAAUAUGCCGUUAAGUCGUGAUAAAAGGAAAUAAAAACACAUGACACACAUUUCCAUUUAAUUGGAAAAAGUUAGUUUUUAUUAUUAUGACCACUAAAUCGGGUGCGACCAAAAGCCCCGUAUAACGGCAGUAUCGGGUAGAUUCCCACUGAGCUCCAACUCCCACCCAUAUAUAAAGGGGAGUAAACCCCAUUUGGAGACUUUUUACACUCUCUCUCUAGACUCGUUUUCGCCCCGAAUCUAUGAUUCCCUUGCCUUAGUCAGCAGUCCUCACUGCUGAGGCAUAUGUAUUUCCCUGACGUCUCUUGCUUUCUUUAGUAAUCAAAUUCAGUAUUUUGAUAAUGAUAGCAAUUAAGGGAAAACUACUUUUUACCACAUAACACUGACCAGUCUUGGUAGAAGGCUGCUUUAUUAAAGAAAAUAUAGGAUUUUCUGGAAAGAACUCUAAUACACAGUAAACACUUAAACUACUACUUUAUAAAGUUAUUUGAAUAAAUGUCACUAAAUGCUUAUGAACUCACCAGCAUUUGUAAAAAUGCUGAUACUCGCUUUUCAAAUAACUUGUAUUUUCAGGGUAGCAUUAGACAGGUACACCCCAGGAGCCGUUGAUGAAGAUAGCUUAGUACCUUGUUGUACUUAUUAUAUUUGUAUGUAUUACUUUGAUACUUUGUAAUGUAAACUAUGUAAAACUAUUACUAUUAAUGCAAUGUUUUGUUGUACUUUGAUUACUAUAAUGCAUGUGUUGUGAUACUUGACAUGACGUCAUCCACCCCAGAACGUUUCUGCCGUUCCGGUUUUGGGGUGUGACAGAUUGGUAUCAGAGCAUUGUUUAUAGUGAGCUAAGUAUAUCAAUUCAUAAAAGAUAUACAACCUAUAAACACAAAGGGAUAAAACACUCUGACCAAGAAUUAUACUUUAAAAUAUAACCAUAUUUUACCAAAGUAUAAUAACAUCCAGAAUCUAAACACUCGAACAAAAGUAUCACAAGAAGAACAAGAAUAAAAGUCUUCGGAUGUUGAGCAUUACCGUCAAACCUGGGCAGUUAUGUAAUCGUAAGCUGGGAUAAAUGUAACCUGAUCAACUACAUUUAUCCGAGAUGCGAUGAACGUGUGCUUGGGAGUGAUAGUGGUGUACAACAGGUCUGAAACUUACCAACUAGGAAUGCUAGAGCCAAACAUAAAGUUAAAAUACUAUAGGAGUAUUUUAGAACACUAAAAGAUCCACACUAAUCCCAGAAUGAAACUCAGAAGAUAAGAAUCAAACAAGAAUUAAAAUACCAUAGGGGUAUUUUAGAAUCCAUAAACAACCUUGCGUGAAUAACUAAAAAGAUCCUUAUUGAUAUACCUACAACUACAGAGGAUGUACUCCCAAGGUUAUAUAUAAUAAGGAUCCCAUAGGCUAAGAAUGUGUGGUUUCGCUCUACUUCCUUUUCCUUGUUUGGAUGUGGAUUCCGAGUAGUAUCACAUAUUCGAAGGCCUAUCGGAUCUAAGUUAUAUAUGAUUUGUAUACCCUGUGUAAUCGUAGCAGGACUCGAUAUGGAUCAUACAGUGAAAUGUUAAUAACCUCUUAGGAUUCUUUAGACAUUUUCAUUCUCGCACGAACCCUAUAGAAAACCCUACCCACUUCAUUGCUUGACAGAAGAGUUGAUUCCGACCCCGAAGAAGUUCAUUGAGAAGAUUUCUUGUUCGGAAAUAAAUGAACCGGGUCGAGACUAUUGAAUGCUCCAGGUGCCCAUAUUCUUCUAGGGACAUCGGUGCGAAAUUUGCCUAAACUUCUAAGAUUCCCAGUCGCCCUUUAUGAGGUGAUGACACCCAUAGUCGAAAUUCGGAAGCAAGGCAAAGUAGAGAUUCAAUAUGUCCAUACGAGAAGAAAACCCUAGGAAACUACCCGAAGGAAACCAACGCCGAUUCCAGUCAAAGAUACGAGGCAGACCGAGGGAGCCAGUACAUGGAACCCGGGAAUUGUCUUUUCCUCGUGUUCGUCACGCUAAUACACCCAUAAAAUAAUACAAUUUAGUGAGUUAGUGGUUACACUACUCACGCUAUGUGUUAGGUAAAAUCGUCGUUUUCUGUUGCCAGUUACACGAUUAGGGCAGAUCCCCGCAUCUCUAUUGAGAAAAUUUUAGCCAUCUGCCCUUGUGAGCCUCUCUUUCCGCAGUUUCGUUCCGAACCGUUCUCAAAUCCCUCCAGGCCGGAGAGUGAAACCUUUCCCAGUAUAAAGGUAACUUAGUAGGAACGACUCGCAUCUUGUGGUUUUUUUCCGAUACUCAUACACCCACUUCGAUUACCAAGAAUACAUCGUAGGGAUGAAGGUCGACACUCAGACGACCAGUACCCAAGGCACGGGAAAAAUUUAUGCCUAAUACGUUCAGGACAGAAAUGUCUAGGGUUAACCAUUGUCUCUAAUUACCUUGUAUUCCUUUCCGUGUAGGAAAACCAUGCCACCGAAGAAGCGUAACCAAUCCACAAGGAAGAAACCUGCUCUCUUAUUCGAUGAAGCUACGUUCCAAGCUGCAGUCUUAGCAGCCGUAGCAGCUGUCAUGGCUCACCUGAAUGCUAACACCGCAAAUGUUAGCAAGGGCCCUGUCGGGAUUUCCAAUCCUGGCGAUGGACAGCAGCAACCAACACUUUCAUACCCAGUCACCCAAAAACCUUCACCGAACCCACUAAAGAGAAAACUCAAGAUUGAGGAGGGAAGUACCUCGGCUCAAGGACCUUCUGAAAGGCGACGAGCUGAGGCAGUCUAUACCCCUGUCAAUCCUUCCCUCCCGACCUCAAGAAGACCAUACCUAGGAGACCUUCCCCACUGCAGCAAGUGCAGCUACCAUCAUCAUGGUGUCUGCCGGGAGCUCUAUUGUGCUAGGUGCCACAUGUUGGGGCAUACUGCUCGCGUCUGCAGAACCCCGGUUGAGUUCAUUACAUCAACCACCAAUGUGGCGACCCGUACAGUUUGCCACCUAUGUGGUAAAAUGGGACACUUCAAGAAGGACUGCCCAACCGAAGGGAAAGACAAAGACACAGAAGGAGCCUGACACUACUGCUUAGGGAGAAGCGGCAAGGAACUCGUUAGAUUUUGGUACGUCUCUCGAUCUCGGAUAACUAAACUAAGAACAAUAAAAGACUAAUUCAAAUGUAAAUUCUUCCCAGUAAGGCGAAAGUCGCAGCACUGUUAUAAAAUUUAAAAUUCAUUAGGUAAAACUAUAAUGGCUAAACAUAUACGUUACGGCCAUGUAUAUUUAAGAUGGACAGACCUAGAGUGAGCGAAUGCCGCCUCAUUUCCUGUUCCUCGUUUGGUUGUGGAUUUAGGGCGGGGUCGCUCAGUCAACAGUCCUCCCCACCUUAAAUAUACAUGACUAGUAUAUGUGAGGCGAUUAUAGAAAUGCCUUGUGAGAAUCCACACAUGAAAAGGUAUUCUAUUCGGAAACACUUAGGACCCUCUAUAGUUCCGCGUCGACUCUAUCGGUCCAAGUAUCCGCGGUAGUGAUACAUAGGACGAAACCUGAGAUGUCUAGAACUUGUGUGCCUGUUCGGCACAUGACUCUAUUGAUCUUCCUUAUAUAUCAUGUCAGAGUGUGCCAACUUCGACGACUCUAUUGAUCAUGGUUCGACUACGUGCAGCCAUGUGUACAUUCUUAGUGUUGUGUAAAAAGAACUUUCUCCGUAGCCAUGUCGGCAAAUAAAGGUUCUUCUGAAACUAAACAUAUCGCAAAUAAUCAAACUUAAUGCGAUCCGCCAGCCGUCCCUCUUAUCUCAAACCUUCCGAAGUACCCAAGAGAGGGUACCCUGCGCCGUUGACCGACCCCCCGUAGUCAGAUGGAAACCGAAGUGAAAGACACUGUAGAUACUCUAGAAGACGACAACCAUCUGAAGCAUACUUCAUAGUUUCCCCAGAAAGACCUCUCUCACCUCGCACGUCAGGUUUGUAAGCAUAGAGAUUAGAACUCAUAAGGAAUGACCACCAUAACCAGGUAUAUGCGUAAAGAUGGUAUAUAAUUGAGAUCAAAAAGAUUUAAGGUGUGUGUUUCCUCCCUACUCCCUGUUCCUCAUUGGGUUGUGGGUUUGGGGUGGAGUCGCACAGCUGAACAUCCUGCCAACCUCAAUUGUAUAAUGCUUGCAUACACCAAGUACUGGUGGUUAAGCCAAGCAUGAGCUCUACCACGAACCUCUUUGCAAAACACUUUCACCCUAUUCCAUAACAUAGGAGCCGGAGUCAAGAGAAUCAAUGCGGGUUAAGCUAGUAAAGUUCCGAGUGAUGAGACCCUAUACUCACUAGAAUUGACCUAGGCCUAUGAAACUUAGAACCUUCGGAAGAGUAGUUGCAGUAGAUGCUCUUACUACUCAGGCACCUUGCCCACCCUGUUAUAGACAGGUAGUGCCUAUCACCCUCCACCCUCUUGUAUGGAGGAAAUCGUCGUCGCCCUGUAGACGAUAGACUUCAUUCUCCGAAGUGAACACUAGGAUACCGAGAACCACAGGAUAACCUCCGCAGCUAAGAAUACUUGAUCAAAGUGCGGAAUUAGUUGCGUUAAACCUCAUGAUCCAGAUCCCGAACAGGUUAUAGACUUGACACCAGUCCUGGUGUUAGUCGAAAGGUUAUGCAGGAACAUACGCUUUCCGCACUAGAAUAAACCAAAGUCUUAGAGAUUAAUUGGACUAUUAGGUGUUCCACGAAUACCAUCUCACGAGGAGAUAGUAGAACCACCUCCCGAGAUAGUCCAGCACUCGUAUAGUGAAACCCUAUCUCCCCGACCCUCAGGGUUUCCGUAUCUCAAGGAUCGUUAGUGUAGGUUCAUUUUGCACGAGCUUGAGAUAGACACUCUACAGCAGACAGAUAACCAUAGUCACGCAACCCAUUCGACGAUCUAGAAAGUCUCUAACAACCAGUUGUCAAGAAACGCGAAACAAAAGACCACCCGAGCUCCCUAAGAACCAACCUGAAGGACUACACACACAGUACGAGUGAGAACGUUAGGAACUUCUGAAUGGCGAUCACACCAGUGAUGAUCUUGCCAUAGAAGUACACUAUGUUUUGAGUACCGAAAAGCUCUACCAUUCCGAGAGCUUAGGACCAUAUGAGAAUUCUCACGGAGACUUGGUCCAACCCUUUUCAGGCCGCUACUACCUUCGGAUGCACCACAAGAUUCACACCCGGUCGAUCCACUUCUUAGACUUGAUAUGCGAUUACUCGACAUCACUCUUCGUGCCUCACUCAUCUUGAUAGAAUCCAUUAAGAACCCUAACCUUGUAGAUACACCAGUCGGAACCCACUAGCUACACGAGACGAAAUCCGCAUCCCGUACGUGAAGGUCUGUUGGAAUGACAAACACAGACUAGAGUUCACUGGGGAAUGCGAGGACAAACCAUAUAGGAAGUACUCUCUUACCUCUACUUGGACCUUCAUACCUACUUCCUUGCCUAGACCUGAAUUUCGGGACGAAAUUCCCUCUAACGGGGGAUGAUGUGACAACCCAAGUUGUUCCGUUACAUUUCCCCGUUACCGUUAACGGAAUAUUCCAGUUUAUAAAAGUUCUGUUAAUUAGAGGUCGUCAAUUUAAUAAACAUUCCAUUUAUUUACAAUUAAUAUGUCGUUAAGUCGUGAUAAAAGGAAAUAAAAACACAUGACACACAUUUCCAUUUAAUUGGAAAAAGUUAGUUUUUAUUAUUACGACCACUAAAUCGGGUGCGACCAAAAGCCCCGUAUAACGGCAGUAUCGGGUAGAUUCCCACUGAGCUCCAACUCCCACCCAUAUAUAAAGGGGAGUAAACCCCAUUUGGAGACUUUUUACACUCUCUCUCUAGACUCGUUUUCGCCCCGAAUCCGCAACCAAACGCUUCCAAAUCGUAAGUCCACUUACCCUAGCUUAUUCUAAACAUAUUGAUUCAUGUUUAUAGCUUAGAAAUCGUACAUAGAAGCUGUGAAAGAGGAGUUUAUGGCCUAAGCUCCUCCUUAGGCCGUAAACCCCUAAAUCUAGGCCAAAUUGACCCCAAAAUGUCCCUAAAUGCUUGGAAACUAAUAGAGGAAUUAGCCUAGGAGUUUUUACACAUUUAAAACAAUCAAAUUUGGGCAUAAAAGAGAGUUUACGGCCCAAGCACAUGCUUAGGCCGUAAACACCUCUAAAUCUUGUUAAAAUGCUCCAAAAACACUCCCAAACCACCCUUAGGCUUAAUACAAAAUUUAGGGACUUGAUAUUUCGGGUUUUGAUCAAUUAAACACAAUAAAAUGAAGGGACAAAAGGAGUUUAUGUCCCAAGCAUGUACCAGGGCCGUAAACACCCUUAAACAUUUUAAAACAUUAAGUUUUGUCCGCCAAAUGGCCUUAGACUAUUUCUAUAAAAUGCUAGGAAGGUAUUAGGGGCUUAAAACUUCACUUAACUCAAGGAAAAGGAGUUUACGGCCAUGAACUCCCUUGGGGAUGGUCAUAGGCCGUAAAAUCCCUAAAGAAGCCCUUAGGAGCCUUAAACCCACUCAUGCCUUUUUGGAAUUUGACUUAGAAAAAUCCCACUAACAAGAUUAAGCUUUGAAACACACUAGAACCCCUCACCAUGAGUUUACGGCCGUAAACUCAUGGUGAGUAGUCCCUGGGCCAUAGACUAAGCUUUGGGAGUUUACUCUCGGAGAGUAAACUCCAUUCCUAAGCCAUUUGAGCCCUUAGAUGCUACCCGGGACACCCCAAACACUUAUCCAAAGUGUUUUCCGCUCCUUUGAGCGUGUAUACUUGUUUAAUUAGUAUUAAAUAUACUAAUUGUAUGUGAACAUAUGUUAUCAUAUGUUAAAUAGGUCAUUGAGUGUGUUCGAGUCUUUACGUGACACCGAACGCCCAAACGACACCUUCGUCGGACCUAGUUACACCAGGUGAGUUCAUACCCUUGAAUGAACCUUUUAAAUGUUUUCACAUGUUUUAUAGGGGGGAAUACAAGUUAAACAUGCCAGUUAUCAUAUCAAUCACAUGUGAUUGAUAACCUGCAUGCACAAUGAUUUACCACACUGUAUACUGUUUUACCGAGUAGGACACUAUAAAUGGUUUUCUAAAAGGGUUUUCACUCGUUCAAGUUCUUACUUUUACUGCUUUAUCAAAGUUUCAUUUCAAACUAAUUUAUGAAAGGUUUCCAAAGAAUUUCUAAAAGUUUUAAAUCAAACAUAUUUCACAAAGGAAUACCAAGUCGUGAUUUUCUUAAAAUAUAAAGGUUUUCCAAAGUUUACGUCUAUGUUUUUAUACUUAUACUUGAUAACGUUUCCACUUCGUGAUACAUUUAUACCUGAUGGACGCUUUUACUUGUUCACACUCUUACUUAGUGAUACGUUCCUACUUCAGUUAUACUUGAAAUCGCUUCUACUUCACUUAUACUCGAUACGCUCCUACUUCACUCGAUGUCACAUCUACUUCGAGAUACGCCUAUACUUGUUAGACACUCCUACUUCACUUGUUGACCGCUCUUACUUCACUUGUUAGACACUUCUACUUCACUUGUUGAACGCUCUUACUUCACUUGUUAGACACUCAUGCUACACUUGUUGAUUUCUCUUACUUCACUCGUUAGACACUCCUACUUCACUAGAAUCACUCCUACUUGUUACACACUCAGUAGUAGAUAGAUGUAUGUCUGUGCUUGUAUAGGUACAUAUAAAUAAUGACUGAAAGACUUAGGAAGGCUCAUCCGCCCUAUUUCCUUUUCUUCGUUGAGAUGUGGUCUGGUGGGAUCGGAUGGCCGUCCGAAGGUCUUUUGGUUCAUUAGUUAUAUACUAUGUAUAUGAGUAUGGACAUACAGGAAUUCUCUAGUCAGUUCAGUUAAGAGCCUCUACCUCUAGUCUACACUUACAUUAGAAACACACUACCCACUAUUUGGAAGUCUCUACCUCUAGUUCAGCACUUACACACUACCCACUAUUUGGAAGUCUCUACCCACUAUUUGGGAUGCAUCUUCAGGACACGGCCUUCUCCGUCGUCUAGUUGGUAACCAGAAUCUCCUGUAGGGAGAGCGGACAUUGUGUGUAUAGAUCUAUACGGGAUUGACAACCCCGCACCCAGACCGCUAGCUACAGCCCGGGCCUACCAAGCCAACGGGUGACAAAUGUCAUAUUUUAGACGCUUGUAGGGCGUCUGGUACUCUAGUCAGUAUGGUUACGAGUAUCUCGGGUUACCUUUUAAUUCAUUGGCCUUAAGGUAACAGUAUUUCGCCAGAAAUUUACACUGUAUGCUGGUAUCUCAUUUUCAGAGUCACUGUUUUGACCUUACGAGACGUAUCUUUCAUUUGAUACUGUCUGGGGUCUGUAUUCUCUGUUUGACCUUACAAGACGUAUCUUUCAUUUGAUACGGUAUGGGGUCUGUAUUCACUAUUUUAGACCUUACCAGUUGUACCUUUCAUUUGGUGCCUUCUGGGGUCUGUGUCUCCACUUGUUAGACUGGACCAGGCAUGUCGUUUGUUCGAUACUUUCCUGGAGUCUAUGAUUCCCUUGCCUUAGUCAGCAGUCCUCACUGCUGAGGCAUAUGUAUUUCCCUGACGUCUCUUGCUUUCUUUAAUAAUCAAAUUCAGUAUUUUGAUAAUGAUAGCAAUUAAGGGAAAACUACUUUUUACCACAUAACACUGACCAGUCUUGGUAGAAGGCUGCUUUAUUAAAGAAAAUAUAGGAUUUUCUGGAAAGAAUUCUAAUACACAGUAACACUUAAACUACUACUUUAUAAAGUUAUUUGAAUAAAUGUCACUAAAUGCUUAUGAACUCACCAGCAUUUGUAAAAAUGCUGAUACUCGCUUUUCAAAUAACUUGUAUUCUCAGGUUAGCAUUAGACAGGUACACCCCAGGAGCUGUUGAUGAAGAUAGCUUAGUACCUUGCUGUACUUAUUACAUUUGUCUGUAUUACUUUGAUACUUUGUAAUGUAAACUAUGUAAAACUAUUACUAUUAAUGCAAUGUUUUGUUGUACUUUGAUUACUAUAAUGCAUGUGUUGUGAUACUUGACAUGACGUCAUCCACCCCAGAACGUUUCCACCGUUCCGGUUUUGGGGUGUGACAAUGUCUCCUUGUGAGUCAAAUUGGGAAUUCUCUCCAAUUGUAUCCAUGUGACUACUCGUGGCGACUCAUCUACCUUCUAACGCGAUGCUCCAAUCGUCAUAUGUGUCGGUAUCGGAACGCUUUUCCUAGUUGUAACACUAGUACGAAGACAAUGAAGAGGUAUUGAGGAAUAAUUGAUAUUGGUUUCGAAUUAGGAUUAUUACAAAUGGUUAUCUAGCUACUAACUAUACGUCUAAAGUCAAUAGCUACCGACGAAUACUCAAUCUUAAUACUAAGUGGAUUGCACCUAGAGUGGCUAGUGAUAUAACCUUACUAGUUAGCCUAGCACUUGAUAAGCGAUAAGAAUAUUUGUAAAUAAAGACAUUGUGAUAAAAGUGCACUUAGUUUAUAAGUGUACCUAGAUGGAUGCCUAUAAUAUGCAAUGCCCAUACGCACACCGAAAAAUUUUAUUUUUUCAAAAGUUUAAGUUGAAAAUCAUUUUGAACAUAAUUCUACUAUAACUGUUUCCAGCCUCGCAUUAGUUUUCCUUAGUUAAGCAUACUUGGCUAGACUAUACUUAAUUAAAGUCCAAUAAUGCAUACUCGAAUUGCUUAUACAAGUAGUAUGUUCAGUAUUGUAAAAAUGUUUUGAAAUUUUUUGGCUAUUAUUGUGGUUCUCCAAAGGAAAAUCGGUAUUCUCUAUAACCUUUGGCUAUGAUACCGUUUUUGUCACACUUCGCUAAAGUGGAAACACGAGGCGCAACAGUGCAACAUGUCUCAUAGUAAAAGUUAAAAGACAACACCCACCAUAGUAUUAAAAGCUUUACAAUUUAAAAUAAGUUUGAACAACUUUUAAAAGUAAUUACAACGUAUUAAAAUAAAACAACACACACAAAUGCUCCUACAAGUGUUCUGUCUCUAUGUACCUCUUACUAGAUGAUUCCUGAAAAAGCAUGUAAAACGAGUGUCAACUAUAAAAAUAGUUGCUGAGUUCACAGGUUUAAGAAAAUAUUGGUUUCAUGAAUCUUAAUCAAGGUUUUGACAGAAGUUACCAUAAAUAAAAGUACAUUGCUAAAAUAAGUAAACAAGUUUGCAUAAACAAAGUUCGUUGUCAUCAUGAAAAAUAAAGUACGUUGCCAAAAUGAGAUGCGAAGUUCAUUUUCUCAUGGGAAAUAAAUUUCAUUGCUAAAACGAAUAAACAAGUUUCGUUGCUAAAAUAAGUAUACAAGUUUCAUUGUUAAAAUGAGUAAACAAGUUUCUAUGUAUGUAAUAAUCUUUAUAUGCAUAUAACAAUCAACUGUGAGCUCACAACCAAACGUAUGACUGAUUCCCUAUCAAGAUUUAUGCUUAUCAUUCCAUAGAUGAACAUGCUAAAAGGCACUCAAGCAAUCGGGCAAGUGAGGAGUUGUCAAUUCCUAAUAGCGCUAUUCGUAAUGACCAUUGGCUCAAAGUGUUAAUGUUUAGAGUAAAGUGUAAGGGAAUUAAGACGAUAAAGCCUCAUGUUUCAAGUUGUGUACAAAUACAUAGAAAAAUAUCGCAAUCAAGUUUGAUACAAUUCAAUAUAGAUACAUCAAACGUAAAUAGUUAGGACAUGCUUUUCCAUCCCAAAACAUUUAAAAACCGAAAAUAGGGGAUGUGAAUAAGCAUAAUUCUUUGAGAUGAUGCAAAUGAUGCCUUGAACUAAAUUCAAAAUGACCUACCGAUGCCCUACAAUAAUGGUAUAUACUAGUGAGUCUCUAAUCAAAAUGUAACUCUAGCAUACUUAACUUCUACAAUAGAAUUAUGACAAUAUUGUGUCAAAGUUAGGUUUUGUAUAAGUUGCAAAUGAUUUUCUUCAAAUUUAGAUUUCCAUAUAUCAUUUGACUUGUUAACAUUUGCAAGUGACAAAUCCCAUUUUGUGUUAUUGUUUAGAAAUGUAUUUUAGCACUUUUGGAAAGGUUUUACAAGCUAAAAAUCAAGAAACUAAAUCAAAACAGUUCUAAAAAUUUCCAAACUUUAGAUUUCAGUUCUAACCAUAAUUUAGAAUCUCUUUGUAAAUUUUCAUGAUUUGUAAAUAUGUUUAACUAUUUUCCCACCAUUUAAUUCCUUGAAAACAUCAUAAAAUGGUGAAAAAUAUUAAACAGUUAAGAACAAUUCCCAAUCUUUUUGUAAAACAAUUGUACAAUGUAUAUGAGCUGGGAAAAAUAUCAAAAGUGGUUUUCAUACAGUGGAGUCUUGUCACACCCCCAAAGCAGGAUGGCGGAAAUGUCCAGGGGCGGGUGACUAUCAUGUAGUGUAUCAUAACAGUUGAGUAUAAAUGUUCAAAGCAAACACAACCAACAUAUAUAUAAUUGAAAAAGUUACAUCAUUUGUACGUAUUACAUGUUUCAAAAUAUCAAUUACAAUAUGUUGUCAAAAGAUUUGUUUAGACGCCUAAGCGUCCCAUCCUCAAAGCUAGUUGUUACCUGAUUUACUGAUUUCCUGAGAAUACAAGUUAUUUGAAAAGAGAGUAUCAACAUUUAGGUUGGUGAGUUCAUAAGCAUUUGUAUGUAUAUUUGUAAACCUUUUCUAUGAAAUCUAGUAAUGUUUGUUUUCCGGAAAAUCCUAUAUUUUCCCUAAAAUGAGAUGUGGCCUUAAAUGAACCAAGACCGAAGCGUAUAAGUAGUUUUCCUACUUAAAAUGAUGUUAUGCAGUUUUGUUUGUAUAUAAAACUGUUUGAAGACUGUCUUUGCGUAAACUAAAAGUUUCAUUGUUGUUUUACGUGAGUUUUAAUUUUUAUCUUAUAACCAUGCUUGAUUGACCCAGACUGCCUUGUUCGCAACGUUCUUCAGGUGUCGAUUUUGCUUAUGACAUUUGUCACCCCCAGACCUGCCGGUCUAGCUGUUGCAAGCAGCUAAGGUGCGGGAUUGUCGGUCCCAGUAUAGAUCUAUACACAACUAUCACGCUCUCCCUACAAGAGACUCUGGUUAUAUUUAACAGGACUUUCGUGUGUACUUUAUAAGGUACCGUGAAGACAAAACUCACUAAAUUUGUUCAACGAGUUUACGUGUUUUUGUGUUGAAAAUGUUUGUAUAAAUGAUCAUCCCCUAAGACUGGGAUAGCUAUGAAAAACGACGUGAAAUCUUUAGAUAUGCAUUUGACAAUAUUUUACCCUUUGCUCAACAGGAUACAAAUGGAGUAGAGUUUCGUAAACUAUAUAUGUAUAUUUUUGAUGUAGAAGACAAGUUUGUAAACAAAACAUAUAUAUGUAAAUGGUUAUAUAUAUGUAUAAAUUUUAAAAGAUGAUUUGGUAUGUUUCGUAAUUGUUGUUCAUAUUCUUACGUUUUUAUUAGAAACUUUGCAUGAAAUAAUCCUUAAGUUUGAUACUAAAGACCUUUUUGUACUUAUCACUUUUGUAAAAAUUGUAAUUAAACAUAUUUAAAUGAUUGUGUUUUAACUUCCUUAAUGUAUAAACAUUGCUCAAAAAUGUUAGAAGGUGUUAAUAAAUCUAUAAACCACUUUUGACAGUUUUACCCUUUACUGUCCCUGUUUUUAGAAAACUCAUAGAAAAAUCAUCGUAAGUCAAAAACUGAAUCCGUCACCUCUGAGAGUUUAUAAAAUGAGUCUACUUUGUUCCUAAUUUUUAUUAUGAUUUUUAGUGGUCUCAAACUAGUGUGAAAAUGAACAUCUUCACAGACUGGUCCGAAAUCACUUCUGAAAUGACAGGCAGUUUUAUAAAAAUCGCCAUAAAUUGUAGAAAAAUCGUAUGAAUGCGUGCGAGUAGUCCUUAGAAAGGUAUAAACUUGAACUAUUUUCAUAUUGUACAGUUUUGAAAGAUAUUAAGUUUAAGAUGGUCAAAACAGUCCGUGAACAGGACUCAACUUUUCUGUAGAAAGCUGUCAUUUAAAUUUAAGUUAUGUUUAGUGUUCUAACUUGUAUUCCCCCCCUUAAAACUUGAAUAAAACAUGAAAAUGUAGGGGUAUGAACUCACCUUAUGUGAAUACUUGAAGAAUGGAAGGUUGAAGAUGAACUUUUGGUUGUUGGUUUGAUGCUCCAAAACAGCCACUCUUUUGGCUAUGUUGCUGUCACGAAAAUUUCACAGCAAAAGAGCAAGAAAAAGGGUAGUUUACUCACUGUUUUGAAUCAAUAAUUUUGAGUAUCAUAACAAGUAACUUCCAGGGGUAUUUGGUGGUAAAAAUAUCAAGCAAAAGAAAGAUGUAGAUGGGUGAAAUGGUGGCUGAAACACAAAAGGGACAACAACCCUUUAGUUCAUGGUUUUGAUGGCUUUGGAAGGAAGUUCUUAUGGCUGAAAAUGAGAUUAAGGUUGAGAGUAAUUCCCUGGAGUAUUGGCUGGUGAAUUUAGGGUAAAAUGAUGAGAAGAUUUCGUGAUUAUGAAGGAGGAAAGGGUGGAAGAGGAUAAGGGGACAAAACCUAGACUAGCUUGUGAUGGGAUGUGAGUUUAAGUGAUGUGAUCUUGUCUAGCCACUUGCUUGGGUGGUUGCUUAGAGAUAGAGUUAGUUAACUAACUAACUACUAGUUAUUUAGUUAGUUAGGAGUUCUAGUUAAGGAGAGGGAAGGUCUUAAUCUCGAAAAUUAGAAGAGGGAUUAAUAAGCAUUCUUAGUAAAAUGUCUUAAGUGAUUAAGCACUUAUUAGUUAAGUUGGCACUUAUCUCCACCAAUUCUCUUAUCUUAAUUGAUUUAGACAUCAUAAAACUUACAUGAAAUCAUUUUAAUUCAUGACUUAUAACUAGUCAUUCACUAGAUAAUAAUACAUAUAUACAAAUACAUACAUGUAUACUUAGUNAUUCACUAGAUAAUAAUACAUAUGUACAAAUACAUACAUGUAUACUUAGUAUAAAAUAACAAUGUAGUUUAUGUGUAUUUGAACUUUAAUGUUUAUGUUUUAUUCUUUUUAUUCAAAAACACUUAAAUACAUUCUAAUUAUACCUUAUAAUAAUUCAUUUUAUAUUUUUAUUUAUUUAAAUAUAAAAUUUAUUGACCAAUGUAUAAUUUCGUGACAUUUAACCGGUUAAUCAUAUCGUUAAAUACGUUUUGUCACUUUGGUUCGUAUAUUUGUCAAAUUUAGAUCCUCCACAUCUAUUAAAUAAACGUUUUACAUAGAACCUAACUUACUUAUCAACUAGAGACAUGUUGAUACAAAAAUUAAGUUUGUUGCGUUUAAAUGAUGUUAUAUGCUAAUUUCACAAACCGGUGAUGGUUCGUAGUCAUACAUCAUAACGAGAUUUAUCAAUAGUUACUUGUUUUAUAUUUCACAAUAACUUAUUUAAAUAAAAGAGGUUAAAUUCCUUCAACCAUUCUUGAUAAAAUACUCAUAUUGCUUAAUAAUCAAAAUAGCAUCGUGCGAUCGUUCCUAUUUUUACCAAUUGUUACAAGUCUAGUUUUGGAUUUAUAGGUGUUUCAUUUUAGGAAAAUAGAAAUAAAUAGUAAACAGUUAAAUUAAAUAUCCAAACUCUUUAUUUUAGAUUAGAAUAUCAUAAAGUGAUUUUUGGUAUGUUUAUAUGAUUUUUGGAAUGGUUUAUCUAGUUUUCCUUAUUUAUCCUAUUAAACAAGGAUUUAAAUUGUGAAAAAUAGUAAACAAUAACGAAAAGCCACUACACUUUUUAUUUGAUCUUCUACUAUAAUAGACGACGUACCGGUACAGUUUCAUGAAUUUUGGAUGCGUAUAACUAUUUUUACCAAUUUUAGCCCAUUAAAUACACAAAAAUCAUGGAACAUAGGAAUAGAAUAUGAAAAAUUCCCAAAAUAUUGUUCAGUGUAUUACACAUAGUUUAGAAGUAGUGAAAAACUAUAUAUGUUCAUUUCACAAUCCCGAAUGUGGUUUUAUGAUUUAUUUGAGUUACAAAAAGAGAAAAUCAAAAAUCAUAUCAAAUUGUAAUAAAAGUUGGUGAAACUUAAUGAGAGUCUUUUACUUACUACAUGAAUCAUCCACAAAUUUAUCUAGGGUUUAUAAACCUCAAAAAGUAUUUUAUAUUAUUUAUGGCCUUAUUUCCUUGCACGAUUUAUAAUAAGUCAACAAAAAUGAACUAAUACAUGAAACUUUCCAGAUCAUAUUAUUAUACAACGGACAUUAUGGGAAAAAUCGGUUUUAGAUAGAAAAUGAGUUUUACAUAUUUAUUUGUGACUAAAUCAUUUUUGAAUAUUUUGAAAGCUUUUAACAACAAACUUUUAAGUUUAAAUAUCAUCACAUGCAUGUUGGUUUAAGGACCAUGCAUGGACUUGAUUUGUUGAAAAAUGAAGUUUUUAAGAAGAAAACUCGGAUACAUGUGGUUGAUGAACUUUAAAACUUGUAAAAACUCAUUUUCUUGGAUUUGACAUAGGCUUAGGUCAUUGUUUUUCACCAUCUAGCAACAUGCAAGAUGUUUUUGGUGAAAACCUACCACCAUUAUCAUCAAAUCUAAAGUGCAUGAAUAUGCACAUGGAUUUUCAAAAAGAAAGGUGUAUAAGAAGAAGAAAAUGCAAGAAAACUAGAGAUUUUUGAACGAAAAGUGUAGAAGAUGUAAGUGAUUUGAUUUUACCUUGAUGAAUGACUCUACAUGAUGAACGUUUUUGAGUAAAAUGAUGGAUAUUUAGCUGGAAAAUCAUAGGCUUUAGUGCUGAUUUAUAAAGGUAAAGAAUGAGGGUUUUGGAGAGAAAAGAGAGAUUAUAUCUCUCUGGAUACCCGAUAUCUCUCGUCAUCCCUUUAGGGUUUCCUUUCAAUCAAAUCGGUCACCAAAAUAUAGAAAUGUAUACAAACUCAUGAAGAGUUGAUGGGCUAAAUCUCCCCUAUAGAUUUUGCUUCUAUGUUUGUUAGUUUUAGAGAGAAGAAAGAGAGAAGUUUUUAGAGAGAGAAAGACAAAGAUGGAGUUUGGAAAAUGAGGGAUGUGAUUAUGAUUUUGGGAAGAGUUGUAUGGGGAGAGUGGACGAAAUUAUUAGGUGUAAUAUCCUAUAUUUUCUCUUUUAUCUUUAUAAAGUUUAAAUCUUUUAUAAAAAUAUCAAUUUUUAUUAUAAAAUAUGCAACUUACCUUAGGUUUUAUUAAUAAAACUCUUGAAUUUUAGACUAACAAUUAGGGGUAUAUGCUGAAUUAUUUUAACUUAUAUCCUCAUUGGUUAUAUUUCCAAAAUUUAGUUAUUCUAUGAUGUUGUUAUAAGUUUCAUAACCAUUUCUAUAAAUUUUGAUAUUAGAUUCAUAAGCAUUAAGAUUUUUUUAGGGCUUUUAGGGUUUUAAGGAGUUUGUAUGUCUGUGGAUACCAGAAUUAAUUGAAUUUUUUAGACUUCAAAUUAUGUUAGAGUUUCAUAACUUUUUUAGUUUAAAAUAAUGUUUGUAAUUUGCUUUUGUCUAUAUUGGCAUUUCUUUGUAGUGAUUCCAAGAUUGAAGGGAAACGAAAGAAUCAAGUAUACUAGUCCUAGUUUUCAACUUUGACUUAAGUUCCUACGAGACUCUGACCUAAUUUCUACUAGUAGGUCAAUGCAUGAUGUGUCUAGAUGAAUAUGCAAAGAUUCUCGAGUCAAGUAAUGACCUGAAUUGAGAUAGUUAUUAAAAUUAAUGGUGUUAUAGAAAUCAUAUAUCAACAUGAAAUCUAUGUACACUAUCUCUCAUUUAUAAUUGUUUCUAAGUUUCUAUUAUCUUAGCCUCUAACUUCCAAGACUAGCAUGUGUCAUGCAUAUACGUGCAACUAAGUUUAUUUAAAUAUAGAACUGUCUCGAACUUUAACGUUUGUUACACGCAGCGUACGCACCCAUUAAGCACGUAGUGCUAACAACCAGACGUCCAAACUUCAUAUCGAAGCCUUAGGAACGUUGUAAUCCAUAAAUUUAAUUACUUGGAGCCUUUACAUAGCUCACAUAAACUCAAACCUAGAUUUAGCAUCCUACUUUCAUCAAAUGGAUACAAACAUACACAUGGUUUGUCCUUAACCAUCAAGAUACUAACUUUAUGGACUAUGGACCUGAAAAACAUCAAGAUAAGCAACUCCUAACUUUUGGAGUGGAAUAAUCCCACUAGAUCUCAUUCAUGGGACCAAAAAGUGCACAAAACUCCAUAGAACUUCAUCUAAGCAUACAGUGAGCAAGUUCCAAGAUUUAUAUCUCAAUGAAGCUAGAAAUGAUGAGUGAAAUCUGGAUCUGCAAGCUCUCUCUUGAUCAAAUUAAGCUCCUUCUACAAGAUUUUUCUACCUCAAGGUUCACCAACUCACACUAAAACAUACAUAAAUAGGUCAAAUCUUCUCUAGAUGGGUUAGGGUUUCAAAAAGAGGCUCAAACGGUAAUGGAGGCUGAGAAAUGAAGGGAUCAUGGGUCAUAAUGAUGUUUAAAUAUGGUCCAACCCCUAAAAAUUAAGGUUUGUCCCUAGAUAACGGACGCCUAGUGUACAUACAUCCCCUUUAAAGUUUCACCUUCCACCCCUUGAGACCAAAUUUGCAAAUUAUUUACACACUAAGGGCCAAUAUUAAAAGUACCUUGAAUCGGAUGUUACAAUUCUCUCCCACUUGAAUUAGAUUUCGUCCUCGAAGUCCACUACCGUAAAUAACUCUGGGUAAUGCUCCCUCAUCUCAUCCUCAGGCUCCCACAUCCAUUCUGACCCCUUUCGAUGUUGCCACUACACCCUUACUAGAUCCCCCACCUUGUUUUGAAGAGUUUUUGUCAUUUUGUCAAGGAUCACCAUUGGUCUCUCUAUAUAAUUCAGGAAAUCAUCCACCUGAAUGUCCUCCAAUUGAACCGUUAUGGAAUCAUCAACAAAACACUUCUGCAUCUGAGAGACAUGAAAAGUGAUAUAAAUCUGAUUGAUCUCCUCCGACAGAUCCAAAUGAUAUGCCACCCCUCCCACCUAGGAAAAAACAUGAAAGGACCAAUAUACCUAGGACCCAGCUUACCCAGCUUCCUGAAUCAGAUGAAACAUUUCAAGGUGACGCCUUUAGGAGUACCAUAUCUCCAACCUAAAACUCCAGGUCUGACUAGCGUCUAUGUGUAUAGCUCUUUUUUCGACUCUAUGUUCUCUAAAGUCUAUCGCAAACCUGAUGAAUCAACUUCGUUGUCUUGAGUACCACCUCGAUACUCCCCAUGACCUGCUCUCUGACCUCACCCCAAUAUAUAUGGAUCCUACACUUCCUCCCAUAGAGCAUCUCAAAAGGAGGCUGAUCAAUGAUGAUAUGAUAACUGUUAUACAAAAAUUUUGCCAAAGUAAGAUACGUAUCCCGACUACCGUCGAAAUCCAGUACAAAAGCCCGCAUCAUGUCCUCCAAUGUUUGGAUAGUCUGCUCACUCUGACAAUCAGUCUGCGGGUGGAAAGUCGUGUUGAAGUAUAGACGAGUGCCCAACUCAUCGUGGAAUCUCUUCUAGAACUUGGAAGUAAGCCGAACAUCCAUAUCAGAGACCACAGAAACCGGAACUCCAUGUCGUGCCACCACCUCCCGAAUGUACAUACCGACCAACUUCUCUGCCGAAAUACUCUCCUGGAUCAGAAUAGAAUCCGCGCUCUUGGCCAAUUGAUCCACGAUGACCCAUAUCGAAUCCACUUUGUGCACUGUCUGAGAAAACCUUGUGAUAAAAUCCAUCUUAAUCUCUUCCCAUUUCCAAACGGGAACUUCCAACGGCUCCAUUUUGUGGUGGGGUCGCUGAUGUUUAGCCUUGACUUUCUUGCAAGUCAAGCAUCUCUACACAUAACAGGCCACAUUUCAUUUCAUGCAUGGCCACCAAUAGUCAGGCCGAAGAUCCCUAUACAUCACUGUUGCUCCGGGAUGAAUAGAGAAUCUCGAUUUAUGUGCCUCCUCCAUCGAUACCUCAUGCAGACCACCCAAUAUGGAACCUACACUCUCCAAUGAAGGGUCAAUAAUACCCGAAUAUCAUAAUCAAAGGAAGCCACUUGACCCACUAUGUGCUCACUCUUCUAACGUUCUUCCUGUUGGGUUUUGAGCAUUCUAACACUUCCUAAGUGUACAUGCAACCCUAAAUACCUUGGAUCUAUGUUUUCUCUAUUAUACAUGCAAAUAAGAACUUCCAAGGUAUUAUCCUAAUCUAGCAUAUAAAACAAUGGAUAUAGUAGGAUAGAAUACAUACCUUUUUGGUGUAGUAAGUCUUCAUGAAGCUUGAGUGCUUAGUGCCCCAAGUGUGACACCUCAAAUGGAAUCACAAUCAUCAAAACACUUGGAAUGACUUGAGAGAAUUCUACACUCAUCAAAAUCGGCUAGCCCUUUCUUCACUAUCUCUAGUGGCCGAUUUUUCCUCAAUAAUAAGAUUCUUAUAUAGUUACACAAUUAGGGUAAACUCUUAAUUGUCAUGGCUUUCCAUUUCCUUGGAUCCAUGGGUACAAAUACACCAUGGAGCAUCCAUGGACCAUCCUAUGGGUUUUAGCCCAACUUGAUUAUCCAUGGAGCAUUAGCCCACUAUACAAGUAUGGAUGAUUUACACAAUCAACCCAUAUAUUUAAUUAGUCUUCUUUUGAUCACUUAAUUAAUCCUAGAUUAAUUCUUGAUCAAUACUAAUUAAAUAAUCUUAUUAUUCUUAUUAUUAAUAUACUAGAACUUAUAAUAUAUUAAUAACCAUAAGUGUCUUAUUUCUCUCAUUCAAGUGCAUGAUGGUAUGCAACCCAAAUGGACCAUGCCGGGUCGGGUCAAGUCUUACCAAAUAUAGUUAUGGACUUAGACAUUAAUCCAACAGUCUCCCACUUGGAUAAGUCUAAAACUAUUAUUGCGUAUGACUUCAGGAACCAACCGGCAAUCGUAGCUCUCAAAAGCUUCUGUCGAACUCUGACCUUGUAGAUGAACUCUGACCUUUGUCAGUGACUUGUCCAUUAGAUAAGGGAUCAUAUAUUCCUCCAUUCUAGAUAUCAUAUGGACUGAGACAUGGAUUAUAAUCAUUCUCUCUGUCCAUUUGUUGUUUCCCGAUUUCCGAUUUAUGACGACUGACUAAUUGAACAAAUCAAAUCAGUCCUGGCCCGGCCGAGCACUUCCAUUUGUCAUCAUCAAAUCAUCGAGGGGCCCACAGAUAUCGCUUUUAUCCCGAAGGUAAAAGGAACGGAUAAACUUCGACUCAUAUGGCUUGUUCUACUACUUGUUGAAUCAUACACAAAGGCACGUUUUAUAGCACCGAGUUACCAAAUGCGUUUUCGUGCUAUCAAUGUACUAUCAACUCAUAGUAACAACUCAUAUCUCUAGGUUUGAAGAAUAUAAGAUAUUAUCGUCUCAUGAUCACUCGUGAUAAAAUCCAUGAAGUGAUUCCAAUGAGCGCGGGUUGAAUCCAAUACUCAGAACUUAUGAGCACUCAUGAUUGUUGUAGCCUUGUCCAACACCUUAGACCUCUACAACCCAUCAUGACAGUCUUAAUUCAUAUCUACUUCCAACAUAUGACCGACUGUGGAUGGUUUGAAUAACUUAGUCAUUCCGGAAGAAUAACCCAGUUUAUUCGGGAAGUCAAAACAUGCAAAGUGAAACACAAUAAUAAUUGAAUCCAAUAUGGUAUCAACCCUUUGAACAUAAAUAAAACACCUUUUAUUUAUCACCAUAUGAUUACACAUUAUUCAUUGUAUACUGUUUCAGCUAUCAACUUUAUUCUUGAAUUUAAAACAAUAGUUGUCCCAUGCUCCAAGCAUGUACACUAUGUUUUCUUAAACACUAGUCAUGCCACACACCAAGUAUGCAUACUAUGUUUGUCUAUGAUCUUUACUUUGUGAACUAGAUCAAUUGAACAUAACUUCAAUGAUUCUCUUUUCACACUCCCAAAUCCUUACUGCAAAUGCAAGAAUUCCAAAUUCAUGCCAUUUACUGAAAUCUGUUAGAUUCUAAACUUAUAUGCAUUGAUCCUCUUGUAAUGAUUAUGCACAAAGUCAGAAAGACUUGACAACAAUCAUUACAGAGUAUUCCAAAGGAGAUCAGCUCCUUGGAAACAUCCUUCUUGCAUUAAGUUUCCUAAUCUUAAACAGAUUGAAAAUUCUAACUUUGAAACAUUUCCAGAUUCCAUUUUGACUAUCACUUCUGAACAAGAGUUGCCUCCUUACAGAUUAUGUCAAUAUGGUCCUUCCAGAAUUAUCACUAUACUUCCAACUGUCCUUGAGCAACCAAUCUUUGGUAAACCUUAGAUUGUCCUCGACAAUUGUUUAAUCCUUUUAGUCAUAUCCAGUUCUAAACCUUUUCCCUUCUUAAUGCCCCAGGCAUUUGGAAAAUUUUAGAACGGAUGAAUAUAGCACAUGUAAUCGAUCCUAUAUCCGAAGCAUAUGGGACACGAUUCAUGAUGUCUUACAUAAAGACUAAACCAGUCUUUUGCUAUAAUAUUUCCAUUUCAAUUUGCCAAGUUCUCAUAAUUCAGAUUAUGAAAAGGGAUGCCGUAAUCAUAAUCGAAUUUUAGAACGCAAAUAAUGGACCCAUAUACAGAAUUUCCUUAUGUUGAGCCAUUCCAACAUGAAAUUCAUAUAUAUCCUUGACUAAAUGAUUAAAACCUCACGAUCUAAGCUUAUAGAUUUGAGAUGAAGUAUAAUUUCCUCUCCCUUAAUUAUAGCAAAACAACUUUUUCCCAAUUGAAACUUUUGUUUUCUAUAAUUAACAUUGCUAACUUGCAAUACUUAUCAUAAUUAUCAUGCUCCCACUAACAUGAUGAUUAUUAGCAUAACACUUAUGCUCCCACUAGCUUUGACAUGUACUCAGAAAUCAGCUGGACUUCUAGAAAUCAAUACUUCAUUGACUUUCUUACCAAAGUUCAGAUUUCUGAUGCUAGAUUGUUUUGAUAAAGCUUUAUCAAAAUCAUACACCUUCCCUUAGAUAGCACACUUGUGUAUCUAAACAAUUAUGAAGAGGGAUGCCGUAAUCAUAAUGUUUAGACCUUUUUGCCACUUCUCACAAGUCCAAAUUAGUGUGCCGGUUAACCACACGCGCUCCACUAACGACUUUGAGAAUGCAAAUAUCACAAUUGCUAUCUAGCUAAAAUCUACUUAGUGAAAGUGUUUCCUCACCAUCAUUUUCAUGAAUCGGAGAGAAACCUUAUGACACUUAGAUUUAAUGGUGUAUGUGUUCUUAUCCAUGUGAAUUGUCAAAACCAUAGUCACAAGACAAGGAUAAUGACAAAUCCAAACUCAUAUGGACUGAACUCAAUCUUAAUUUCUUGCCACCUGGCAGCUCAAGGGCCUACCAUUGCUUCCAAGUUGUUGUGCAACAAAUUGAGAACUCUAAGAACUCAUAUGCAAAACCAACUUUAACUGGAAUGGGCACAGAAUAUGUCAACACGAUAGGUUAUGAACCUCAAGUUGUGUGCUAGUGAAGAACUUUAGGUUUUAUUCUUGAUUAGUUCUUGAGACUUUCAAGACUUUUAAGACUCCCACUGACCUCUUGACCUAUAAGACUCCCUUGUCAAAUAUCCAAGAGAUAGUGUGGAUUCUAAUCAAGACAAACACUUCACACAAUUGGCCUAAGUUGGUCUUUGUUUUAUCCAAAACAUCACAACUUACCAAUUUCAAAUGUACAAGAGUAGAAAACUUUUACUCUUACAUUUGACAAGUGUUUUAAACCUUCUUUAAGACAUGUCACUCAAAUGACAAUCUUGGAGUAUGACUCUAAGACUUGUAUUGGAACGAAGUAUGACUCAUCUUCUUGAUUUAACCAUUUCAACAAUUCAAGUUCCUCUUCUUAGUCAUAAGAAUGCACUAAGAUUUCCUUAGAGAACUAAUUUUGAUAUGGUUUCUUAAUCAUUAAGAUGAUCACAAAACUGAUACUAAAGUACUCUCCCAUCUUUUCAGAUUUGAGAAACUUUUAUCCUUCUGCCUAAUUUGAUUCUUCUUAUUCGCUCUGCCAUACAUUGGAACCUUUUCCAAUGUCUCAGAGUUACACUUAAGCUUGUAAGUAUAAUCAUAUUUACUGAGCUUUAGUAAACUAUGACGAAUAGUCUUAUCAAUCUUUUGUGGUGGACUUAAUCAGUGCACAAGAAUGUGUACUCGAUCCCUUAGUCCUUUACUUGACUCACACAUCCAUGUGGCCGAGUAAUUAGUCUUAAUUUUCCAAAACUUGAAAGUUCUCAUUCAUCAUGCUAUACAACUUGCAUGAUUCCAAGUUCCGGUCCAAUUGAAACUUGGGUGAUGAGAAUCUUUCCUUAUUUGGUAAAUCUAGACAUUACCACAAAUGAAAGAAUCAAUUUCAUAUUUCCACUCUUGCUAUUAAUGGAAUCAUAUAAGCAACAAUUUUUCCUCAAAUGCCAUUGUAAGGAUAUUUUAAAAUAAAUAAAAUCAAAAAUUUUCUUUUAUUUUAAAACUUUGCGGAAAAACUUAUCCUUACAAUCCAUAUGAAAACUUGUUGUUAUCUAUUCCUAAGCAAUAUCUCAUAACUCCUAAGAAGUUGCUCAAGAAUCCGAUCUUCAAACUAUGCGAUAGAAAUCCAUCUACGCCAUCAGAUUCAGCAUAUUCUUUCUUUAAGUUUCUUCACUUUUCUUUGAUUCUUAAAACAUCACCAUGUGACCCAGUCACAUCAUGUAUCAGGAAUCUCAGAAUAGAAACUUAACAGAGUUAGAUAGUGGACUUUACCUGAAGUAGAGUCAAACUUAUUGACUUUAACAUCCUUAGGUAAAUUUGGCAGCUUCGCAACCAAUGCCCCUUCCUUUGGCAAUAUAAACAUAUGGACCCUUUGAUAAUGGUACACGAGACUAUCACAGACUUAGCUUUUCUCUUUACCAUUUGGUCAACCGAGUUGACUAUGGCCGAUCCCUUUCCAUUGGGAAGAGAAUGCUUUACUGGAUAUCCAAUGUCAUCAUUGUCAAUGUCCAUAAAGUUUUAGGAAGUUGAUCUUAGCAAAUAGAUAAGAUCAUUAAGGGUCUUGUCAUAGUCUGUUUCAUAGGUGUCCCAAAGGAACUCACUAUGUGACUUAGAAAGUGAUUGAACCACCAACUUUCUCAAGACUUUGACACCCAACUCUCCCGGCUUGUCAAUAUGUGACUACAUCUCCAAGAUGUGAUCACACCUAGACCUUGCCUUGCCAAUAGGGCUUGAGUGACCUUAAACUUUUCAAGAACUUGUGGGUUAGGGAGAAUAAUUGGAGGAGGAGAAAGAAGUAUGAUAUCCAUGGGACAUCAUCUUCAUUAGGAAACCUUGUUUCAAGAGAUUUGGGAAGAUCAUAGGUGUCUAAACCAGACAUCUUUUGGGAGAUAUUCAAGAUAGUUGAUUUAAAGUCCUUAAUAUGACACCCAAUAUGAAAUAUUAAGGCUAGGACCCAACAAACUAUUUUAUAACUUAGAAGAGGUAUGCCGUAAUCCAAGCUAUAAAAUAUUUGAAGGUAGGUGAAUGACGAUUCACCAAUUUCCACCAAGAUAAACGAAAUGUAUUAUUAGGUUUUAAUUGGUUUUGAAACUCCUAGAUCUUUGAGAUUCAUUGAACUGUUCAAAGGCAUGUUUCAAUCUCGAGUGUGCCCUUCAGGUUUUGUGACUGGGAUGCCGAGGAUCAC